RNAcentral lists this small RNA (19 nucleotides) under Arabidopsis thaliana (thale cress). RNAcentral describes it as "ATSL051450". Lineage: Eukaryota; Viridiplantae; Streptophyta; Magnoliopsida; Brassicales; Brassicaceae. The record is from RNAcentral.
AAUAAAUUUCUAAAAAAAC